This 474-nucleotide ribosomal RNA is filed under the name uncultured bacterium. RNAcentral describes it as "partial 16S ribosomal RNA". It matches the Rfam family "Bacterial small subunit ribosomal RNA", at positions 28 to 507 of the family's 1533-position model. The record is from RNAcentral.
GACGAACGCUGGCGGCGUGCUUAACACAUGCAAGUCGAGCGGUAAGGCUCCUUCGGGAGUACACGAGCGGCGAACGGGUGAGUAACACGUGAGUAAUCUGCCCUUCACUUCGGGAUAACCACCGGAAACGGUGGCUAAUACCGAAUACGACCAGUCUUCGCAUGAGGUGCAGGUGGAAAGUCUUUUCGGUGAAGGAUGUGCUCGCGGCCUAUCAGCUUGUUGGUGGGGUAAUGGCCUACCAAGGCUUCGACGGGUAGCCGGCCUGAGAGGGUGACCGGCCACACUGGGACUGAGACACGGCCCAGACUCCUACGGGAGGCAGCAGUGGGGAAUAUUGGACAAUGGGCGAAAGCCUGAUCCAGCAACGCCGCGUGAGGGAUGACGGCCUUCGGGUUGUAAACCUCUUUCAGUACCGACGAAGCGCCCUGUCGGGUGGUGACGGUAGGUACAGAAGAAGGACCGGCCAACUACGUG